Molecule: long non-coding RNA, 4116 nt
Filed under: Triticum aestivum (bread wheat)
Lineage: Eukaryota; Viridiplantae; Streptophyta; Magnoliopsida; Poales; Poaceae
Description: long non-coding RNA (TAES_LNC005875)
Source: RNAcentral
CCCUAGCUACUCCAUAGCCUACCAAAUUUCCCUGUAUAUUGGCUUGGCCAUGGCCAGCUACACAUACGCCGCAGUGGCCUCAUUGCCUUUCAUGUAAUGGGCCGCACAAACUACCCAUAACAUGAGUAAUAUCUCCGCGAACUCCUCAUGGGAGGUGGUGUCCACGAGAUGAAACAGCCGUUCCCGAGCGCACAUGUGUCACAUCGUUUGAUUGCAUAGAGUGUUAUGUACCCACUCAUGAAUCACUCGAAUUACUCCAUUACAGGAAGUUCAAGCUCAGCUACAAGAGGUUGAGGAGGAGGGAGAGUACAGGAGGUAGGAGAUGACAGGGAAAAGAGGAAGCCGCCGUUGCCGUUCGUGAUCCAAGCCCGGAUGCCCGUUCGCUGCGUCUUGGCUGGGUACUUGUAGUCUGCCUGCCCUGGGAGUAACAACUUGUCCGGCCCGGCCCAUGUGUUGGUGGGCUCGCUGCCUUGGCUCUCCAGUUUGUGUUGCCGUUGGUUUCGCUGCCAUGGCAGCAGUUUGGGCUACCAUGGUAGCGCCUUCAGUUGAUGUGGCCGCGGCGGUACUUUGGGUCGCUGACAUCCCCUCCUCCUUAACAACCGGCUUGCCCUCAAGCCGGUGCCAGUUAGCCGCUAGUUCCUCGAAGUUUGUGUCUUGCAGAUGCAAUUUGAGCAUAUGUGAGGUGCCAUCAGCUAGCCAGGAAGGAGAACAGGAGUCUUGAAGUUCUGUAUAUCUGCCGAGCCGGUGCCUGUUCGCCGCUAGUUCAACAAAAUCAAAUCCUCCUGGAUCCCACUGCACACAUGAAGUUGCUGAUUGAACUGAUUGUAUGAAUUGCCACCUCAGGAUAAAAGUUGCGAUGUAAUCUUCAGUUAUGGGUCUCAUUGCACGCAAACCACCGCAGAUAGUAGAGCUCUCAGAAAUACAUGGCAACCCUUCUUGUAACUUUUCGGCGAUGAUAUGGGCCAACCAAAACAGAGUAGUCAUGGGACCUGGUCCCCAAGAGAAGCACCGCCAAUAGCUUGACAAGGUACUGACAUGAUGAGUAAAGGGCCAAGAUUGAGUCAAUUCCCAAAGAACACCAGUGAGACGCAGAAACUCUGAAUUAGUUCGCAUAUAGCUUCUGAAUUCUGUAGGAAUUUUUGGUGGGAAAAGAGGUGACCAUGGGGGUUUGGGUUGCAGCAUGGGAAAAUGUUCUGCCGGUUGUGUGAUAAGUAAUUCCAACUCCAUCAGCAGGGUCCUACUGUCGACCAAUGGGAUGCCCAAACACAUGUAACCGGUGGAAGUGAAUUUGUUGCUGUUAUGUAGGACCGAAGCAAAGGUACGACGAUUUGCAGUCUCUGAAUUAUGCUUGUCCAAGUUGUGGUCAGCAGGACUGAAUUUAGAACAAGAAGUCUGAUGUAGUAUGUGCGGCAAGAGCUUGAAUAUACUCUCAACGCCAAAGUUAUAGUCUUGUUGCUGAGCAAGUGGGCUGGUAAGAGCACUUGUUGAUGUACUAGAAUUCACCUUGGGCUGGUCACGAACACAGGGAGCGCAAUAGCACAAAUAAUCGCUUUGAAUAAAAUCAGAAGCGACCGAACGAGCAUACUCAAGCACUUGCGGCUCAUUCAAAAUCUUGGCUAUUUGAGGGCACGAUUUGGCGUUGCAACGGAACUACAGCCUAUCAAUAUGCUCCACCGUCGAAUAUACCAAAACAACCAAGAGGUUGACAUGUUGUUUAUGAUGGCCCUCUGAAUUCCAUUGCUUGUCACUUGCAUCCCAGGGGUGACAAAAAGCAUGAAACAAAGGUUCGGACCACAUCUAACCAAACACCUCUUCUUUAGUUCUUGGAGCCCACAACCUCUUAAACUGAGUGAAGAAAUGCCAAUGACAACAAUAACUAGUGGCACUGGCUGCACAUGAAUUCAUAUAUUCUGGAACCGAGUUUGCUGGCUGUACAUACUGAACAACCGAUGAUUGCAAAAAUUUUGAAUUAAUUUCUCCAAGAGUUAUGUGAUACUCUAGGUAUCCCUUGUCCAGCAAUAAUUGAAAGGGCUUGAUUGACAGAAAUUUUGCACACCAGGGCAGAAAUAGGAUCACCAGGCAAGAGUUAUCAAUUGACAGCUGAACACUUGAAGUAUCUUGAGCAGACAAGUUCUUUUCUUUUCUUGGUGGCGCUUUAGACAUGAUAUCCAGAACUUCUAUAACAUCUUUAAAGAAGGUGUCCACUUUCCUGGAACAUGCAGAUUGGUAUUCUGGGUCAGAUAGAAGCAGAGGGCACUUCUGAAGAGAUGAGGAAUUCAAAUCACCAAUAAACUCACAACUGUCAGAUAUUUUAUCAGAUUUGCUAUCAGCCACAACAACUGUAUUGUUGCUAUCAAUGCCUGCUGAGCAUCCAUCUGUGUUCCAGAGGUUUAAGUCAUCUUCACGCCCAACCAAUCCAGGAGUUGUAUUUUGAACAUAAUAUUCAGCUUCGUAUUCAACUUCGAAUUCAGCAGGAAAAUCAGUCAUGCUUGAUUCUCUGAAAAACUGAUACUUGCAUGGUUCAUAUCUUUCAAGAGGUAAUACAUAUGCAGCCACACUUGAACCCAUGCAUCCUUUAUCCAUUUUUUUGAUUUCCAAAGGAACAUCGAACUCCCUUGCGAUUGCUGGACCAUCUCCCGGUGAACAUCUCCGAACAUCAAACGAACAUCGCCUUGCAAUUUCAGUGAAACUUUCACGCACUUUGUGUUGAAUUCCACUGGUGCAAGGCUUGACUGAAUCAGUUCCAUUACCAUGCUCCUCCAGGUGAACAUCUCUAAACAUCAACCGAACUAACCAAGGACUAAAGCAGGAACCUCGAUGUGAUUGACUAUGGAUACUUGAACAUGGCUCUUCCGGGUAGCUUGUGACUGACAGAGGCCCGAACGAUGGCCACGGGCUAGGCCUGAAGAUGGAUCCCAUGUGAUUGAACCUCCAUGGUUGAUGUCGUUCGAAGGAAGGCGGGUGCAGACGCUCAGCGAUGGGAGUGUCAUGUGUCUCGUCGACACUAUCGAUGGUGGCGGUCAGAGGUUUCACCCAGUCGCCCACAUAGGCGGAGCAUUCUGCCAAGCACUUGGACGGCGCUAGUGCAGCCAAGUUGUUGGGAACAAGGAGAACGACGAUGUGGUCCGCCUCGCUCACUACUUGGGUGGAGUUGUUGCUGCAUGGUAGUGGCGAGUCGUCCAGCUCCUGCACGCUGGUCUUGGGGUUGACCUCGGUGGUGGUUGCCACUGGUGUGAUGAUCUCGGAGGCGACCUCCUGGUGGAUGUGGUCAUCCACGGGCUCGAGCUGGGCGGCUGUGGCAGCGUCGUGGACCUCGCCGACGCUGGCGAUGGAGGCGACCUGGGUCAGGCACUCCGUCGAACAGGUGGCGGGCACCCUCUCGAUGCGGACCGAGGGUGCAUCAUGCGAGACCGCGGGGGUCUCCUGGGCCUGGGUGGUGGUGGAGAAGACGUCGUGGACGACCGCCGGGGCUCUGGGGUCGUCGGUGAGGCCACCAUCGGCUGCUGUGCCCAUGGGGCAAGCCAGCUGCGGGGUCGAGACGCCCGUGAGGAUCUUUAACAUCCGCGCGUGCUGCUUGUCCACGGCGUCGUAGCGCGCCAUGGUCCGUGCGUGGUAAUCGGCCAAGUAGGACUUCAGCUCCGGGUGCAUGGUGGUGGAAGAAAUUGAUGAACUCAGAAGAAAAAAUUGGGCAAAAAUUGGACGAACUCGGGAAAAUUUGUGGCGAAUCGGAAGGGUGGAAGGAGGCUCUGAUGCCACGAUGUUAUGUAGCCACUCACGAAUCACUCGAAUUACUCCAUUACAGGAAGUUCAAGCUCAACUCCAAGAGGUUGAGGAGGGAGAGUACAGGAGGUAGGAGAUGACAGGGAAAAGAGGAAGCCGCCGUUGCCGUUCGUGAUCCAAGCCCGGAUGCCCGUUCGCUGCGUCUUGGCUGGGUACUUGUAGUCUGCCUGCCCUGGGAGUAACAACUUGUCCGGCCCGGCCCAUGUGUUGGUGGGCUCGCUGCCUUGGCUCUCCAGUUUGUGUUGCCGUCGGUUUCGCUGCCAUGGCAGCAGUUUGGGCUGCCAUGGUAGCGCCUUUAGUUGAUGUGGCCGCGGCGGUACUUUGGGUCGCUGACAU